Molecule: transfer RNA, 89 nt
Filed under: Candidatus Omnitrophota bacterium
Lineage: Bacteria; Pseudomonadati; Candidatus Omnitrophota
Description: Candidatus Omnitrophica bacterium tRNA-Ser
Rfam family: tRNA
About the family: Transfer RNA (tRNA) molecules are approximately 80 nucleotides in length. Their secondary structure includes four short double-helical elements and three loops (D, anti-codon, and T loops).
Source: RNAcentral
GGAGAGGUGGCAGAGUUGGUUGAAUGUGGCGGUCUCGAAAACCGUUGUGCCUUUGGGUACCGAGGGUUCAAAUCCCUCCCUCUCCGCCA